Non-coding RNA from Podarcis lilfordi (Lilford's wall lizard), 11162 nucleotides. The record is from the annotation of a GenBank genome assembly. NCBI's taxonomy places the organism in Eukaryota, Metazoa, Chordata, Lepidosauria, Squamata, Lacertidae.
GACUACAAUUCCCAGGAUUCAGCGCUCCUGGACCAGUUCUUUCUUUCUUUCUUUCUUUCUUUCUUUCUUUCUUUCUUUGCCCUUCAAAUUGGCGGCGCAAUGCUAUAUGCAUGUUUACUCAGAAAUAAGCCCCCCCUUGUGUUCGGUGGGGUUUACUUCCGGGCAAGUGAGCAUAGGAUUUCAGGCUGCAUAAAAGUAGGGCAGACAGCAACAUGUUCAGGUCUUCAGGAAGUCCCCCUGUGAGGGAAGCUUGUGGCGUUGGGGGCUUUUUAGUUUAGACAAAAGGCGAGUAAGAGGGGACAGGAGAGAGGUGUCAUGGCAUGGAGAAAGUGGCUAGAGAAAAGUUGUUCUACUUCUCUCAGAACAUUAUAACUUGUGGCCAAGGAAGAGGAAUGUUGGAAGAUUGCAGACAGGUGAAAGAAAGUACAUAUUCUUACAGCACAUAGCUAAACCAUGGCAUUCCCAGAUUUCAAAAAAUGAAAAUUUGGACAGAAAAGUUAUUGAGGUUUUGUUGUUGUUUUGCAAAGUUGCUGGGUUUUUGGACGUUUUUGAGCCAUUUCUGAGGGAAAUCGGCAAAAAUGACACUGCCGACAUGGGCUGUCAUACAUCUGGAUUUUCCCGGGCAAUUCUUUAACCAGUUCCCUCCCAGACACUGCUUGCAACUGCAGUAUUCCGGAUAUGUCCGGGAAAUUCCAGAUGUAUGGCAACCCUACUUCCACAGGAGGCAAUGAUGGCCCGUAAUUUGAAUAGCUUCAAAGGUGGCUUAGACAAAUUCAUGGAGGUAACAGCUACCAGUGGCUACUAGAUACGCUAUGUUUGGAGGCUGUAUGCUUCUGAAUACCAAUGGCUGGAAACAGCAGGAGGGGUGCAUGUCCUUGUGCCUAGGCCCUGCUUGUGGGAUUCCCACUGGCAUCUGGUUGGCCACCGUGAGAACAGGAUGCUGGACUAGAUGGGCCAAUUGGUGUGAUCCAACUGGCUUUUCUUAUGAUGCCAGCAGCCAUGCCCUAUUUCAGGAUGUUCCAUUUCUACCACUACAUUUCCCCAAUUUGCUUCCCACAUGCACACCCACUUCUAAAGGGCUUCCCUCCUUAUUCAUUUUACUUCUGCAAACUUUGGGGUUCCCCAAAGCUUGCUGAUACUUCCCUCUUUUGCAUGCGGAUGGUGUCAUUUUGACUACAUUUGCAAUGGCACUCACAACUUGAAUGUUGAAAAUAUAGAGACUUCUAUGCACACAGUCCCUCCAGCAUUAUUCAGACAAAAAGUAGGGUCAGUUUGAUGUUUGUUAUGUAGACAUUUGUCUUGUGUAAGAAUGUGUCAUAAAAAUACUUUAAGGAGUGUCUCAUCCCAGACUAGCUUGCCUGCAUGUUAAGAUAAUUAGUUCUAUGCAAGGUUGUGUGUUAUAUUGCAGAUUUUAACCACCAUUUUCAAACCUGCACAGAUUUUUUUGGUUUCUUACAAUUCUCAAGCAGCAUUGGCUGCUAUUAACCUAUAUUAAGAACUUUAAUGGAGUGGAUAUUUGUAAAUUUAAAUUGCACUAAAAACAUAUUAAAAAUAAACUCAUCUGCCACCACCCUGUGCCAAAUUGCAUCUUCAUCAGAACUGAGCUGUUUCAAUAUAUUUGUCUGUCAGCAGCAAAGAUCCAUUUAUAGAGUGUCAUCCCCAAGCAGGGUUGCCUAGCACUGACUCUGUUGUCUUUUGAGUGCUACCAGGAAUGAGGAACAUUUGAGGGCCACCACUUCCUCAUCACUGAAAUGGAUAAUGCAACUCUGAGCUCCAUAUCUAAUCCUGUCCAAAACGAGUGACAUUAAGGUGCUCCUCCUUCCUAAUACCCCUGCAUCAUGUGUACUAACAGCAAGCUCAAUCAUCUUGAGUGUUGUUCCAUAUGUAGCCGAAGGCAGUGCUAAGUAGGCUGAAGCCUAGGGCCUCUAAAUCUAUGAGGCCUCCCCUCUCCUAAAAUUGCAAACCCAAGACUUCAUGUGAAGGCAGGGCAACUCGGACCCAGCAACUAUGAGACUCAGAGCCAGCCAGUGGGGCCCAAUAUGAAACUCUGGGGCCCAACUUGAAAUAUUUUUGUGGGGCCCUAGUUCACAGCCAAAGUCUGCAGAAUCUUAGAGAUAUAAAUCUGUGUGCUAGGUCAUUUUCACAAGGUCAGCAAAGCCCUUCAGAAAUCAGACCUGUAACUGAGUUCUUGUGCAAGUUUGUACAGUUCUGGAUUUUUAAAGGAAAAUUAGAGAAUAUUUUGAUGAGCUUGAGAAACAAGCAAAAGCCACCUUGCCAAAUGUUAACUACAAAACAAGGAAACAGUGAGGAAACGGCAAAGAAAUGACAGAAGUGCACCUGAUGCCUUAGAUGCACUUUCUUCAAGAGAUAAGUUUAGGAUAAAUCCUUUAUUUCUAUAUGAGAUGCACUUGAAGCCAAUUUAAAAAGAAGUACUGUGUACAGUGAUGUUGCACAAUUGUUUUCCCAUCCUUGCUAUUCUGAUAGCAUCUAAGCAAGAAAUUCAGCAGGGUGUUGAACUCUUGAUGGAAGCAUACCCAGAAGAUAUUGACCUGAAACUUAUUGAUGAACUUUUGCACUUUCACCUGUAUGUGAGACAAAGCCAUAGGCUUACAGCAGAGCACUCUCUCAUAUAGACCUUUAUCAAAUUCAGAUGGCCUUUCUUAACAUGGAAGCAAUUUUGUGGCUAUUUCUUAGCUUUAUGGUCACUAACUGCUCGGGAGAGAGGAGUUUUUCAAGACUCAAAAGAAUUAAAAAUGAAUUAAGGGCCACAAUGUCUCAAGAGGUUGUCCACACUGAGCAUUCUGUACAUUGGAAGUGACAAACUUAAACAAAUUUUGAUGAAGUUUUCUGAUGUCCUUUAGAGGAGAAAUUGUGAGUUGCAGAAUUUUAAAUACAGUGGUGCCCCGCAAGACGAAUGCCUCGCAAGACGGAAAAACCGCUAGACGAAAGGGUUUUCCGUUUUGAAGUUGCUUCGCAGGACGAAUUCCCCUAUGGGCUUGCUUCGCAAGACGAAAAUACCUUGCGAGUCUAGAGAUUUUUAUUUCGCUUUCCCCCCCCUUUAUCUAAUCUGCUAAGCCUUUAAUAGCCUUUAAUAGCCUUUUAGCAGCUAAUCCCCUAAGCCUUUAUGCCUUUAAUAGCCGCUAAACCGCUAAUAGCGCUAAUAGCGCUAAUCCGUCAAUGGGCUUGCUUCGCAAGACGAAAAAACCGCUAGACGAAGACUCUCGCGGAACGGAUUAAUUUCGUCUUGCGAGGCACCACUGUACCCAUCAUUAUCCUUGGCUUCACUCAGUUUUGUUUAUAGCACUCUUCCAUUUCCAUAGUCAUGAGGGUGGGGCAGUGGCGUAGCGUGGGUUGUCAGCACCCGGGGCAAGGCAAGUAAUUUGCGCCCCCUAACCCGUGGAGAGUGAGUGAGCCAGGUAGGGGCAGAGCACUGUGAGUGCGAGAGCGCGCCCCCCAGAUGUUGCGCCCGGUGCGGCCGGCCCCCCCUGCACCCCCCACGCUACGCCACUGGGGUGGGGGAUUGGGAGGGGCCUCACGAGUAGCCUAGGGCUUCUCUUCAUCUAAAAAUGGCCCUGGCCAAAGGGUUGGAUUCAGGGAACUUGGUGCACUAGCAGGAGUCAGCCAAUAACUCCUGCUAGCACAACAGGCCUUUCCUACCUCCCUUUCCCCCUGUGCUCCUUCCAGUUCCCCCAGAUACACUCUAGAAGAUUGGGAGAACUUCCAGAAUAGCUCAUAGGGCAAGAGAAGGGAGCUUGUUCCAUCUAGCAAGCAGAAAUGCUUGUGUUGAUGGACCAAUGGUUUUAGCAUGAUGAAUUCCACCUAAAAUGCCACCACCCACAAGAGAGGUAUCAGCAUGCUUGGGGAACUCUCGAGCUUUUGCAGACAUGCAGCAGUCUGGGUGGGGGAAACCCUAACGCUGAGCAUGGGGAGCGUUUGCGUAGCACACCUACACACUGCAACCAACACGCUAACGUGUCAUGACACAGUUUGGAAAGCUCUGCCCUAAGGAUAGGCAACUAAAAAUAGCCCAAAGAGGAAUGAGCAUGCUCAGUGAAUGGCCAGGGAAUGCCGACUUACUGUUGAGUGGAAGGGGCAGAGGGAGAGCAGAACAGAACAGAAAACUUGGGGAGAGGGGUGGAAUGGAAUAUCCUGGAAGAGGAUGCAACUGGCUGGAACACUGAACAUAGUAGUGAAUGGCAUAGUGGGCCAGUGACACUUACCUGACUUCCCUGCAGGUGCAUUACUGUUGCUUACAGGGAAGGAGAGAAGUGAAGCAGUUGGGAAGGUAGUGCAAGUACAUUAGGAGGACCACCUAAAUGGCUCUGCUGGUGUGUUUGCACUGCACUGACUUCUCCACUUCCUUGCUCCCCAACCCCCAGUGAGCAGCAGCGACUGACUCAUCAGGAGGUAAGGUAAGAUAUCUCAGCCUCACCAUGUCAUCCGCUGCUGCCUGAAGAGGAGCACUCCACACUGCAGUAUCUUCUUGUAGACCUCACUUCUUAUCACUCCUUGCAUUAUUGCCACAACAAAUGUGGGUCAAAAAGAUAAACUGGAACAUUUGUGGUGUAAACUGUUACAGGAUUGCAACAUGGAGUUUCGGGACAUGUGCUGAUUAGAAAAGAAGCAGUAUGGCCACCCAGAAAUUUUUGCAAGCAGAACAAGAAUUGAAAGCAGAAUUGUGUAUAACCAUCCUGAUACCACAACAAACCCAAUAGAAAAGGGAGCAUUCAGACACCUACACAACAACCUUGCUAAAUAAAACACGAUGUAGUUACCAGUAUAUAUGUUGGCUGAUGGCAAAGUACAAUUGUACUUGUAGACUUUGUACAAAACAAGAAGCAUGAUGGCAAAGCUCAGAACUUAAGUGCUGUAGAUAUGAGAGACAAAAGCUCCAGAAUUAGCAGCAGUACAUAGAGCUCUCCGAAGAAAGGGACCCAUAUUGUUGUUGAACAGCUGGAGCCCUCCCACUAGGACAGGCUACAAAUAAAACUAAAAUCUACUAUCAAAGGAGUAGCCCUCUUGCGCAGCAGAGACUUUUUUAUCCAUUUGCUGGAAUUCAGAGCACUGAGUUGCUGUUAUUAUAUUCCAUUUAGGCUAGCAGAAUUCUAGUGUCUUACAGGAAGUUUUGGAGGCCCCCCCGUAAAUGUAUUAUAAAGAACACACGCAAACGCACACACACAUCACCGGCUAAUGUUAGAGAGCCAUGUAGAAAGCAGCAAGCAGAGGAGUUUGUGAUUGGUGGACUCCUCCUGCCUCUUUUCCAUCUACAGUGUGAAACCUCUUGAGCGUCUUGUCUCAGAGAAGGCAGCUCCCCUUGCAAAAAGUUCCAUCCAUCAGAGCUCUGAGACAGCUUCACCAUGAAGGCCAUCCUGAUCCUUGGUAUUGUGCUACUGAUGAAUCUGACUCUGGCUGUUGCCACUGAGGUAAGGAGUGGUCUUAUUGGAUGUGACAAUUGAAAUGAGAAUCUUCAGUUGCUUCAAAACCCUGAUUUCAGAUACUGAAAGAAGGCUGUGUUUAUGUAGUGGCUGCAGUUUGGGGGAGUGGAGGUGGCAUUCAUACAUAGGAAUUGAACAUAUUUAAUACCACCUGUUUCUGAAAUGCAAAGCCCAAUCCUGUGCAUAUUUCCUUGGAUGUAUGUCCUGCACGGAGUUCAAAAGUGCUUACUCCUGUCCCAAGUGAGUUCACAUGGGGAAUGCAGACAUUGCGUACAUUGGAUGUAGGAGGCAAUUCUAGAGUAGGACCAUGGAUAUAAAGCUUGGAAUUUUUAUUUUGCAAAGGCAUGCUCCAGCCAGUGUUAAGUACCCUUAGACUCUGCUGGUUUCUGUAGAUCGAACUCUGCUAAUUUUGGUUUCUCUCAGUUGUUCAUUUUCCCAAGCUUAACUUCACUUCUCCACAUUUACAAUUAAAAAAGAAGUUAAUGCAAGUUCGUUAGCAUUUUAGUGCACAUUUCUCCUAAUAUAUUUUGCCUAACAUGCCCCUUUUUGCAAAGCGAUUUCCCCUAAUAUAAUGCAUUUUGGUGAGUUAUUUUCAAUAGUAUACACAUUUGUGUAAAUGUUGUUACAGCAUAUGCAUAUUUGUAUACACUACUUGACUGGAGAACUGCAUUGCAAAAUACAGAGAAGUGUGAAUUUCAAGGGGUGGUUGUGUUUUUGUUUGUGUAUUGUUAUGGAAAGUGAAAAUUAGAUAGGUUUGACUCUAAAUGUGAACUGGUAGGGAUGGGGGAGAAAUUAAGUGGUUCAAAAUGUCAGAAAUUUGUAGUCCAAUGUAAACUCCCCCUCCUUUUUGGAGGUGAGUCCUGUGUAUUUGUUUGGAUUGGACUUUUAACAUGGCACAUAAACAUAAAUGUGCAGGUCUCCUUACAAAUAACCCCUGGUGAAUUCAAAGGGAGAUAAGUUUCUUUGAUCCUUACAAAAAUAUGUGUAAAGAAGCAGACAUAUCUGUGAAGAUUACCAUCUGACCAAGGGGAAGCUGUCCAACCCAUCCCACAUAGCCUACUUUUACACCUUUAACAAAAAGCUCAUGUGUAAAAAUAUGCCUUUUGGGAGAUAAAACAGGUGGGGGACUUUGUGGUCCUUCAGAGAUUUUCUAGAUUACAACACCCAUCAUCCCUGACCAUUGGAUAUGCUGGUUGGGGCUGAUGGGAAUUUGAGUCUAUCAGCAUCCGGUGAGCCACGGCCUCCCCAUCUCUGAGACAAAGCAUUAUCAAUCUGUUCUUAAUGGCACAAGCACACUGGCCAGUUUAAAAUGUCCCGGACAUUUUGCCGCUUUCUGCCCGGACACUGCUUCUGACCACAAGGUACAUUCAAAGGAUUAAACAGCAGUUUUCCACUACUGCCCCUUGUGAGGGCUGAUAAAGCAAGCUGCUGUUUAUCUGACAUUUUAAAAAUCUAAACUGGAAAAGUCAACGCUUGUCAAAACCUUCAAACUCACCUCUUGUGGUUUAUGGGUGAUGACCAACUGAGGAUUAUAAACAUGGGUGAGUACCAGAUUGCUGCUUUAAAACCACAACCAUUCUGAUAGAUGCAAUUUAUCACACACAACACUUUUCUUCUCUUAACUCACAUAACCAACUUUCUCUAAUUUCCUGCCUAGGAAGCUCCUUAAGAGAUCACAAAUGGGUCAUUGGCAACAAAUGUUUGUUUAUGGGUUUCCACCCUGGAAAUAAUAAAAAUGGGUUAAGUGCGUGGGGAACAAGAUGCAGGCUAGCUUUUUAAGGACAAUCAUGGUGCAAAAAACAUGCAUGCAUGAAAAUAGCAACAGAUAUCUCUAGGAUAUCUGCCUGUUCAACUCUAACAGCUAUAACUGUUUAAAGUGGUAUAAGAGCACUUUAAAAAUAUGGGGCGAAUGUGGCCAUUGUCCCCAUGGGAGGCCUAGGUGCUCCUUGGCUUGCUUUCAGACAGACAUGGACACUGUUUUAUUUCAGCAAGCUUUUUAUACACAGCCAUCUUUGUUCCACACUUUUAUUACUUUUUUCAGUCUUUUGAAAAAAUAUUGUAGUUUGUGAAGGGUACUAUGAGUUGGUAGGAGACGCCUAUUCCCCUCACAGAACUACAGUUCCCUGAGGGGUUUAACAACCCCUCUUCCCAGGGAACUCUGGGAAUUGUAGAGGGAACAACUCUCAGCACUUUUAACAAACCACAGUUCCUUGGAUUAUUAGGGGGAAGCCAUGACUGUUUUAAGUUGCAUGCUGCUGCUUUAAAUAUAUAGUGGAGUCCCACUGAGUCCAGUGGACUUUAUUCCCAGGGUAUAACCAGUGCAGACUGGAGCUGAUGUGAAUUAUAGUCCUGAUCAUCUGGAGGGCACCAGGUUGCAGAAGGCUGAUGUACUCGCCAGAUCUGAUUUCCCUGGUAUUUGGGGUGCGGUCUCCUUGCCACCGCUGCAGUUCUCAGAACGUUGCCUGAGUUUCCUUCUCUGCUAGAAUAACAGGAAACAGGUUUCAAGUGCUGGCACUGCCUUGAGCAGGGCCUGUCAUUCUUUACUGCUUGCCUGCCAAUCUCAAGGCCCAGAACAUCAGCUGCUGGGGGCCGGCUGGGGAGAGGCAGUCAGUCAGUUGUAAAACUUCCUGGGAAAUAGGUGCCGAUUAGAUAGCAGUGAAAAAUAACCUUUUAUGAGGGUGGGAACAUUACAUAUGCAGCAAACUUCUGUGGCACCAUGCUACUGUGGUAUCUUUCUCAUUGUGUAUCUAAAACAGAAGUAAGGUACCUCAGGACUGAGAACAAAAUGAGGCCCUUGGACUUCCUGUGGAGUCUACCAAGGCCUCAUCCUUUACAGGCUCUGCUCCCCCACUGCCUGAAUGUAUUCUUGAACUCUGAAAAAUGUCUUUUUCUCUGGAUGAAGGACAGAGAGGGGGUGUGGGGGUGUAGCCACAAGCUACUGCACAUAGGUGGGAAAUGUACCUCUGUUGCUUCACCAGCCUUUGUCUCCGGGUCUGUUUUGGGAUGUCUGUCUACAUUUUGAAGUACAGUCAUACCCUGGAAGUUGAACGGAAUCCGUUCCAGAAGUCCAUUCGACUUCCAAAACAUUCGGAAACCAAAGCGCGGCUUCUGAUUAGCUGCAGGAAUCUCCUGCAGCCAAGCGGAAGCCACGGAAGCCCCGUCGGACGUUCGGCUUCCAAAAAUAGUUCCCAAACUGGAACAGUCACUUUCGGGUUUGCAGCGUUCGGGAGCCAAAACGUUCGAGAACUAAGCUGUUUGAAAACCAAGGUACGACUGUACUUGACAUAACACUGGUGUCACAUCUGAGUUGUUGUUGUUCUUCUAAUUAUGAAAUCUGUUGGUCCCCUUUUUGACCAAGGUAAUGCAAAGGGACUUGUAAUCUAUAAACAAGCUACAGGUAAAGGUAAAGGGACCCCUGACCAUUAGGUCCAGUCGUGACCAACUCUGGGGUUGCGGCGCUCAUCUCGCUCUAUAGGCCGAGGGAGCCGGCGUUUGUCUGCAGACAGCUUCCAGAUCAUGUGGCCAGCAUGACUAAGCCGCUUCUGGUGAACCAGAGCAGGCACGGAAACGCCGUUUACUUUCCCGCUGGAGUGGUACCUAUUUAUCUACUUGCACUUUGAUGUGCUUUCGAACUGCUAGGUUGGCAGGAGCAGGGACUGAGAACGGGAGCUCACCCCGUCACGGGGAUUCGAACCGCCGACCUUCUGAUUGGCAAGUCCUAGGCUCUGUGGUUUAACCCACAGCGCCACCCGCGUCCCUAUCUAUAAACACAUACAUUAAAACCAGCACAGAAUAGAAACAAGGAAAAUGCCCAAAGGCAAUCCUGUUUUUAAAAGGCAGGAUUGAAACAUUUUACCCACUCAAGGAGGCCACAGAUAGUUAAGAGCCAAAGGCCUGGCGAAACAGACAUGCCUUGGCCUGGCGCCUAAAGUUAUGUAAUGAUGGUGCCCGGCGAGCCUCCCUGGGGAGAACAUUCUACAAGUGGCGAGCCUGGUGAUGGGUGUAAGAGUCUAACAACAUCUGAAGGGCAUCAGGUUUCCCAUCCCCGAUCUAAAUAGACCCAAUCUGGGAAGACCAUUAGGCUGUAUCCAAGUAAGUUUUGCGCAGAGUUUUCCCAUUGAAAGUAAUGUACCCUAACUUAGUCAUGUUCAGUCAUUUAAAUGGGUUAGCAUUGGAAACAACCCAUUGGCCCAGAUUCAGCGUUCUCUGACUGCCAGUGUAAGGGCUGUUGCACUAGCUUAAUGUCAAAAGCAAAGUUCAAAAGUUUGUGAUCCCUUCAAUGUGAGUAAACAGCACUUCCUCUAUUUGGUCCAGAAAAGAACAAAAGUAUGUCAAGAUGCAUGUGAAUGCAGGGAGAGCAGUUUUCUCAUGCAAGGCGGAAGAGAGCUUUGUUUGAAGGAAAGGGGUGUAGCUCCGUAGUAGAGCAGCUGAUUUGCAUGCAGAAGAUCACAAGUUCAGUCCCUGGUAUCUUCAGGUAGGGCUGGAAAUGUCCCCUGCCUGAAACCCCGGAGAGCUGCUGCUAGGCUGUGUAGACCAUACUGAGCAAGAUGGAUCAUUGGGCCUGACUUGGUAUAAUGAGUCUUCCUAUGUUGGUAAGGUAUCAACUGUGUCAACUAACGUAACAAAGUACCCUGCAGACCUUCAGUUUUGUUGAGAACUUCUCUGACCCCAUAUCAUAUACUCUUCUCAUUUGCUCUUCAGGACGCAGCAGACACUCCCAAAAACAUGACUCCUGCUUCUACACCAGUCUCCAGAGCCAUGUCCCUCAAUGGCCCAGCUUGCUUUCUGCUACCACUCCUGAUGGUUGUGAUUCAUCUCCUCCGAGUAUACUGAGCCUGGAGAGUCACUCCUAUGAGGGUAUUCCUUGGAGGGCAAAUUCAUCUCUUUUCUGCCUUUAGGGAAACCUUCCCUCCACCAAUGAUCCAGCCAGCACCUAUGCUCCAGCUACAACCAACCCACAAUUUUGGGCCAUGUGGCAAUAUUCAUGGUCCAAAGGCUUUUGGCUUCAUCUUCACCACAAUGGCUGCUUUAUCUGCAGAAUGAGAGGCAAACCAGAAGGACUUCUUGAACUUGAUCCAGAUGUGUGGGCUCAUGCUCAGAUGGUCUUCGCAGCAGGCAAUGCACGCAGGUCUAGAAUGCAUCUUCACAAAGACAUAUUGGUUCCCUCAGAUAGGCAACCCAAGUGUCACCUACUCAUGUGCACUAAUUAACAAGAGGCACAAAUCCACUGGGAUGUUUGCUCGGUCAGGCCCUCCAGGAAGAAACAGGAGUUGUGCAUAAGCACUGCAAGGCUCCUGUUUAUUUCUGUCAGGAGACUGUCCUGAGGCAUUGUGGCUCAGAUCUGCCUCCUAGUCUGCCACCUUCAAGGGCAUCCUAAAUCUGUCAUCCAAAGUCCCAGAAGAUGACCACCCACCUCUUGUUUCUAUAAGCCUUUCAGUUAAUGCCAUGCUAUCCUGUGUGAAGCAUCCCACCCACCCACCCAACUUCAGGAAUCAUUUGAGGUCGCUUCCUGGUCUUCAGGAGGUCACCUCUUGAUUAGCAGCAAAUUCAGGUGUGGAAUGUCAACCCUUUGAAGUGGCAAACCUCAAGAAGUUGGCUGAAGAUGGUCCAAGAAGAUAAACCAUGCAAGAUAAAAAGCAGUGUUUGCAAAUGUUCUGCCUUUGUUUUCUGUAACCCCCCACGCAGGGUGGGUGAAUGAAAUAAAAGCUUCUUGGCUGGAAAGCCUGC